This 92-nucleotide microRNA precursor is filed under the name Canis lupus familiaris (dog). Its description in RNAcentral is "mir-8799 microRNA precursor family". It matches the Rfam family "mir-8799 microRNA precursor family". The record is from Rfam by way of RNAcentral. Lineage: Eukaryota; Metazoa; Chordata; Mammalia; Carnivora; Canidae.
GGGGGGAGCACCGGAUCCUGGGCUGUGUCCCCGGUGCCCAGUGCUCCUGGCCCGGCGUUGCUGGAAUCAUGCUCCCAGCCGGGCAGCGCCCC